AGCCUGAUCCAGCCAUGCCGCGUGGGUGAAGAAGGCCUUCGGGUUGUAAAGCCCUUUUGUUGGGAAAGAAAAGCAGUCGGUUAAUACCCGAUUGUUCUGACGGUACCCAAAGAAUAAGCACCGGCUAACUUCGUGCCAGCAGCCGCGGUAAUACGAAGGGUGCAAGCGUUACUCGGAAUUACUGGGCGUAAAGCGUGCGUAGGUGGUGGUUUAAGUCCGUUGUGAAAGCCCUGGGCUCAACCUGGGAAUUGCAGUGGAUACUGGGUCACUAGAGUGUGGUAGAGGGUAGCGGAAUUCCCGGUGUAGCAGUGAAAUGCGUAGAGAUCGGGAGGAACAUCUGUGGCGAAGGCGGCUACCUGGACCAACACUGACACUGAGGCACGAAAGCGUGGGGAGCAAACAGGAUUAGAUACCCUGGUAGUCCACGCCCUAAACGAUGCGAACUGGAUGUUGGGUGCAAUUUGGCACGCAGUAUCGAAGCUAACGCGUUAAGUUCGCCGCCUGGGGAGUACGGUCGCAAGACUGAAACUCAAAGGAAUUGACGGGGGCCCGCACAAGCGGUGGAGUAUGUGGUUUAAUUCGAUGCAACGCGAAGAACCUUACCUGGUCUUGACAUCCACGGAACUUUCCAGA
RNAcentral lists this ribosomal RNA (633 nucleotides) under Xanthomonas sp. Ri1Ps_4804. RNAcentral describes it as "bacterial SSU rRNA". It matches the Rfam family "Bacterial small subunit ribosomal RNA", at positions 380 to 1004 of the family's 1533-position model. Lineage: Bacteria; Pseudomonadati; Pseudomonadota; Gammaproteobacteria; Lysobacterales; Lysobacteraceae. The record is from RNAcentral.